GACGAACGCUGGCGGCGUGCCUAACACAUGCAAGUCGAGCGGGGUUGAAGCGAGAGGUAACUCGAACUUCUACCUAGCGGCGGACGGGUGAGUAACGCGUGGGCAACCUGCCUCAAGGUCUGGGAUAACAGCCCGAAAGGGCUGCUAAUACUGGGUAUGCUUGUGGCCUCGCAUGGGGCUAUGAGCAAAGGGGAAACCCGCCUUGAGAUGGGCCCGCGUCCCAUCAGCUAGUUGGUGAGGUAACAGCUCACCAAGGCGACGACGGGUAGCCGGCCUGAGAGGGUGACCGGCCACACUGGGACUGAGACACGGCCCAGACUCCUACGGGGGGCAGCAGUGGGGGAUCUUGCACAAUGGGCGAAAGCCUGAUGCAGCGACGCCGCGUGAGCGAAGAAGGCCUCGGUUGUAAGCUCUGUCUGAGGGACGAAGGAAGUGACGGUACCUCCGGAGGAAGCCACGGCUAACUACGUGCCAGCAGCGCGGUAAACUCGUCUCUA
Molecule: ribosomal RNA, 497 nt
Filed under: uncultured bacterium
Lineage: Bacteria
Description: bacterial SSU rRNA
Rfam family: Bacterial small subunit ribosomal RNA
Source: RNAcentral